RNAcentral lists this ribosomal RNA (319 nucleotides) under uncultured eukaryote. Its description in RNAcentral is "partial 18S ribosomal RNA". It matches the Rfam family "Eukaryotic small subunit ribosomal RNA", at positions 1470 to 1796 of the family's 1831-position model. The record is from RNAcentral.
CCCUUAGAUGUUCUGGGCCGCACGCGCGCUACAAUGGUCUUCGCAAACGGAUGCAUUCUCGAAGGAGAAUGCCAAUCUUGGAAUCUAUGCCUUGGUCGGGACAGUUGCUUGCAAUUUUUCGACUCGAACCAGGAAUUCCCUGUAAUCGUGAUUCAUCACAUCACGAUGAAUACGUCCCUGCCCUUUGUACACACCGCCCGUCGCUCCUACCGAUCGAAGAGUUAGGUGAAUUGUUUUGAUCGAUAAGAUUUGACUAUGGUCAACUCUCGUUGUGAAAUUCUGUGAAUCUGACUGUUUAGAGGAAGGAAAAGUCGUAACA